UACGUAGGGUGCGAGCGUUAAUCGGAAUUACUGGGCGUAAAGCGUGCGCAGGCGGUUUUGUAAGUCAGAUGUGAAAUCCCCGGGCUCAACCUGGGAACUGCGUUUGAAACUACAAGGCUAGAGUGUAGCAGAGGGGGGGUAGAAUUCCACGUGUAGCAGUGAAAUGCGUAGAGAUGUGGAGGAAUACCAAUGGCGAAGGCAGCCCCCUGGGUUAACACUGACGCUCAUGCACGAA
RNAcentral lists this ribosomal RNA (235 nucleotides) under uncultured bacterium. Its description in RNAcentral is "partial 16S ribosomal RNA". It matches the Rfam family "Bacterial small subunit ribosomal RNA", at positions 524 to 757 of the family's 1533-position model. The record is from RNAcentral.